Molecule: ribosomal RNA, 253 nt
Filed under: uncultured bacterium
Lineage: Bacteria
Description: partial 16S ribosomal RNA
Rfam family: Bacterial small subunit ribosomal RNA
Source: RNAcentral
UACAGGGGGUGCAAACGUUGCUCGGAAUUAUUGGGCGUAAAGCGCGCGUAGGCGGCUACUUAAGUCGGAUGUGAAAGUCCUUGGCUCAACUGAGGAAGUGCACCCGAAACUGAGUGGCUUGAGUACUAAAGAGGGUCGCGGAAUUCCCGGUGUAGAGGUGAAAUUCGUAGAUAUCGGGAGGAACACCGGUGGCGAAGGCGGCGACCUGGGUAGAUACUGACGCUGAGGCGCGAAAGCGUGGGGAGCAAACAGG